This is a non-coding RNA of Oryzias latipes (Japanese medaka), 2048 nucleotides long. The record is from RefSeq and is a predicted model, not a curated record. NCBI's taxonomy places the organism in Eukaryota, Metazoa, Chordata, Actinopteri, Beloniformes, Adrianichthyidae.
UGUCAGUGAUUUGAAAUGACUUUAUAUUCUCUGUAUGCAUCACUUUUUUGAUUAUGUUUUCCUGUAGGACAAAGCUAUUCUUUUUGUUUUUCAUCCUAUUAAUUUUUCUUACACAAACUUGUUUGGUUCAGCAGAAAUGUGCUGUCAUGCUCACAGUGACACAUUAAAUAAUUUUGAUUGCAGAGGGAAGAAUGUGACAGCGCAGUCAGCAGAAAUCUGCGUCCUGUUGUCCCUUGAAGGUGUGGCUCCGCCCUCACUGCGGUGAUGAACCUCUUCCAGCUCGAACCUCUCUGUAAUUAGUGUCAGGAUGAGUCGGUCCUGUUCCGGUCCUUUCUUUUUUCUGCCUUGAAACAUGCCGCCCCCUUCAUGCAUCCCUUCAUAACUGCCAUUAUCUCAUUAGCUGCUGGAGCGCAGCAGGAAAUUGCGUCUGCGACUAGAGCCAUCUCCCGAAGACGUCUUAACUUCAGCUGUUUUCCACAGCUGUCACAGUGCACCAUCCUGUGCCCACAGCUACUAUGUAAAGUUCAUUAGCACAGUGUGUCCUGGACUACCGCCAAACAGGACAGUGACCUGACCUGCAUGGGAAUUUUAUCGGGAGCCCACAAACAGGAUAUUAGCAAACACUCAAUGGAUCCUCUGUUAACAAAGUACCAGGCCUUCAUUCCACACUCAGAAGUGUGACCUCAUGGAUUCGCCAUGCUGGGAAAUGUUCUGCUAGAUUGCAACACCAGAAUAAAAAAAAUCCCCUUCAGAAGUGCUCAGUUUUAUGUCGGAUCCCUCAGUUGUUCCAAAACUGACUGCUAUCCUGCAUGGGAACUAUUUUUCAUGAAAAAAAAGGACCCACUUUUGUGUCUUCCAGAGAGGUUGCUUCGAAUGUAACCUGGUGCAGAAAUCCCCAACCGUUUUAAGGCCACGGACUUAAAGCCCGGCACCAGCUGUCCCACUGAACCAGUACCGGUAAGUGGCCCAGGAGUCAAGGACCACUAACCUAGGGUAUCCAUAAGGAUCUACUGGUUUGCAUCUUAACUGAGAGAAGGGAGACUGAAAAGGACCUUUUACUAUGUUUCCAUGACAACAGCGCUAAACAACCAAAGAUGUGCCUGCCUCUGCCUGUUAGUCACUCUGGUGUUCAAGCCAAUUCAAACUAUUUCAAAUUUGGUAAAUAUUGGUCUCCCAGACUAAUGAAAGUCUGAAUAAAAUAAUUUAGACACUUCCUAACUUUUUUCACCCCCUUUCCUGUCCACUGCCUUCAGGUGUCUUGGCUCCCUUCUCUGCUCUCCUGCAGAACAGCUUCCCUGUUCUUCAGUCAGUUUGGGUAGCCCAGCAACAUGGUUUGUUGUUGUUUGAGCCAAACACAUCCAGGGAAUGUCGCUGAAGUUAGGUGGAGACCAACGCCAGGUCUGACAGCCAGCACAGGGAUUUAUGAGAGUCCUGGAUCAGGAGAAAACCUUCGAGCUACCAAAACCGCCUCCGUAGAUGUUCUAACAGAUGUUAGUGUGGAACUUUACACCACUAGCAGCAAAAGUUGAGUCCAGAAGAACAGUACAACUCAGACAAAGUUUAACCUAUGAAACAAAAACAUGGAGGAAGUUUUCCAUCAAAGUGAAACAGUGAUCUUCACUUUAAAGCUCAAAGUUUCUUCCAAACUUCAUUUAGGAGAUGAGUACUUCACUUCACUUACAUUUGACACUUUAGACUUAAGAUUUACAUCUUAGUUAUUGUUGUAGAUUAAUUACUUAUUUUGGUAGCAAUUACUUUAACCUUCACUUUUAUUCUUUGUAACAACCAGGCUGUCUUUUCUGAGUUUUUACUGCAGACGUGAGAUUGAGAGCUUCCUUUGUCUGUCACUUUUUUGUGGCUUCAUUUAACCAGCACAUGUACUCUGCAUGUCCACAUGUACAAACUGAACUGAUAAUCUCUGACGUCAAGAAUUGAAGCCUGAAGCGGCGCUGCCAUACUCACAAUGACUAUCUGGGAGAAUGAUCAGGAUUGUGAAUGUGCUUUAAGUUCUGUUAGGUUAAUCUAACUGUCAAUCCAAAAAAAAAAAA